Molecule: long non-coding RNA, 606 nt
Organism: Hyla sarda
Lineage: Eukaryota; Metazoa; Chordata; Amphibia; Anura; Hylidae
Exons: 4
Source: RefSeq, a predicted model, not a curated record
UCACACAUUUUUUUUUAUAUUAUAUUGUGCAAUAAAAGUAGUAAUGACAGUAUGCAGAGAUGUAAACCAGUACAUCAAAGACAAAUAUUCUGUCAACAUAUGCCCUUACUGUCAAAUACUAAAUGAUGGUUCUUAUAUAAAAGUAAGUGACAUAUAACUGAUUCUAGCUGUUACUCGUAGAGCAUGCCUUAACUCAAAUGUUUUUUUACUUCCCUCUAUUUUCUAUGAAGGCAGAAUAAAGACCAAGAUAAAAACUAUUUUUCCCAAGACUGGGAUAUUUGCAUAAUCCAAAAUAUAGAGAAAUGACCCUCACCCAGAAGCUCUGGCUUUUUGUUGGACAAGAUCUGGUAAAAGAUGUGGUAGUCCCUCUCAGCCCUCAGCUGGAAGGUGCAGCGGGAUUUCUCCAGGAGAUCUAGUGAGAAAAUAAUGCAUGGGGCAGCUGGAGGCGGUGCCAGCAGAUCCUGUGCGCAGGUGAUUGGAGUUGGACAGGAUGCCAAUUUCCCAGUUGCUCCAAAAUGAAUCCGGAUGAAUUUACCCUGAUGUAGAAAAAAAAGAGAUGAAAGAGAUGUUAACAAACAGCUGCUGUUAAAUGAAGGGUACGGUUAC